GAUGAACGCUGGCGGCGUGCCUAAUACAUGCAAGUCGAGCGAACGGACGAGAAGCUUGCUUCUCUGAUGUUAGCGGCGGACGGGUGAGUAACACGUGGAUAACCUACCUAUAAGACUGGGAUAACUUCGGGAAACCGGAGCUAAUACCGGAUGAUAUUUUGAACCGCAUGGUUCAAAAGUGAAAGACGGUCUUGCUGUCACUUAUAGAUGGAUCCGCGCUGCAUUAGCUAGUUGGUAAGGUAACGGCUUACCAAGGCAACGAUGCAUAGCCGACCUGAGAGGGUGAUCGGCCACACUGGAACUGAGACACGGUCCAGACUCCUACGGGAGGCAGCAGUAGGGAAUCUUCCGCAAUGGGCGAAAGCCUGACGGAGCAACGCCGCGUGAGUGAUGUAGGUCUUCGGAUCGUAAAACUCUGUUAUUAGGGAAGAACAUAUGUGUAAGUAACUGUGCACAUCUUGACGGUACCUAAUCAGAAAGCCACGGCUAACUACGUG
This 497-nucleotide ribosomal RNA is filed under the name uncultured bacterium. Its description in RNAcentral is "partial 16S ribosomal RNA". It matches the Rfam family "Bacterial small subunit ribosomal RNA", at positions 28 to 507 of the family's 1533-position model. The record is from RNAcentral.